GAGAGAUGUAAACUAGAAAUAUAAGGUUAAUUAUAUAUAUGUUCAGUUAUCUUCGGAUAUCCAUUCAGAUUCGGGUAUUAUUUGUUCGGGUUCGGGUAUCCAAUCUCUUCUUAUUCAAUACCCGUUCGGGUAUUUUGCUACUUCGGUUCAAAUUUUUAUUCGGUUUUUUCGGAUCGGGUUCGGGUGCCACUUCGGAUAUCGGGUAAAGUACCCACCCCUAUAUACUCGGGUCAAACUAAAUAGGAUUUUUUUAUAGUCCACUAUUAUAAAUCAAAAAUUUAAUUAUUUUAUUCUAAAUUUCUCUUAAAAUACUAUAAUAAAGUUUCUGAAUAUAGCACUGUUACACAUAAUAUUUUGACAUUUUCUUAUUAAAUAUAUUUUAAUAUUUAUCAUUCACAACUAUAUAUCUUUAAAGUUAAGAUACUGAUUUUUAUAUGUACUUAUCAUUUAGUAUAUAUAAAUUUAUUUUAUUAUUAUUUAUAUUUGAAAACUUUAAUAACUUAAUUAAGUUUGUAUAAACAAAGUAUAUAUAUUUAGAUAUAAUUUUUAUCAAUCCUACUAUAUAAAAGGAGCUAAAUCAUUGGUUCCUAAGCCCUGCCACAUGAACAAAAAUAUUGAGAACCAAUCAAUAUGCCAUGUUAUCCCGUACUAGAUCUGAAAUUAAAAAAAAAUUUCAACAAUUCGCAGCCUAUUUGACCCAUCUCCUAACCCAAUUCCGCCUCUCUUGGUUACGUAUUGCUCUCUUCUAAACAUGAUCACGUGGGCAAUUCUGUGGGUCUCAUUUUAAUUUUUUUUUCCUUUUGUCAUCUUAAAUUUAAAGCAAAAUCCAAAAUUCGGAGAAUUCGAUUUUGUAACGUCGUCCACCACCAUCAAUAUGAACAGCUUCAACUCCAUUAUGUCAUCCAUGCUCUUCAUCCCCCUUGACUACCUAUAUAAAUUCCCCUGAAUCCAAAUCUCAUCUGGAUUAACAUUUAGACCCAAAAAAAAAAAAAAAUCUCAUCUAGUAGCUUCCAUGGAUGAGAAACAAUCAGAUUUCCAGCCCCAAAGCUCCGGCAAUAUCGACCACCGUAUUCAUGGCUAAGAAUCUGAAAUCACCACCAAAGCUCCAACUGAAUCGACCACCGGUUUCAUGGAUAAGAAAAAGGGGUUGCUUGGCUCCAUCUACAGCCCUGAUCCUGCAAAAAAUAAGAUCUUCAGAGGGCUUGAUCUGUUAUUUAUGGCAAAGAGAUAUGGCCUGAUAUUCUAUGUCCCUGAAUUUCAUAUUUUUUUUGUAUCAUCUAACCUAAUUCUACACCUCAACAUGAAUAUGUGAUACAAGGUGCAUAACUCAGAACCGUGUGAGCCGGUUUAAACAUUUUCUGAAACGUCGCUCUCAGCCUCUUUAACCUCUUAUCUUAAUUUUUGUAACACUUUCAAAGUCCUAUCCGUUCUUCAAAAACAGAGUUUAGCGUUGAGUUCGACUGGUUCUGGUUCCAUUCAUCCAAAGAGUUUGAAGCAGGUUGUGUUCUUAAAGGCGAUCUGUAUGGUGGUUGUGUUGUCGAAUAGAAUAUAUUAUGCAAAUAGUAUGGCAAUCCAGGGAAUAUCAAGCCCUAUAUUAAGUGACGAUUUGAUUUAAUUAUUUAAACAGUGUUAUUCAAAAUCUUGAAUGGAUCGUUUCUCAGUUUCUCAGUUAUGUUGUUGUUGUAGGUAGAUCUUCAAGACUCUGCUUUUGAGUUAUGUUGAUGCAAGUGGGAGCGGUAACGAAAUUACGUUCUCUUGAAGCCAUACUAAUUGCAUAAUUUAUUCUGAUAUACAAGUACCGUGGGUUGUCUGUUGUGUCCCCAACGCAGGUUUAGUAGCUGAAAUAUAGUAUAUCAGUGACAGAAGCAUAAAGAAGAUCCGCUUCAUUACAUUGCUGCCGUAAGUAAGCCAUCUUUCUCCCCAGAUGUGGUGUUCAGUUACUCUGAUACACAAGCUCAUACUGACCGAUAUCAGCUAAUCAAGAAUUACUAUGAAGAUAUAUGUGCUUUGGAACAGUCAAAUAAAGUAAUGAAGUUGAGGGUGAUCUUUUUGAGCUCAUGUUUGGCAUUCCUUCUAGGUCUCAAACUGACGAGACAAUGAUAGAUGUUGCAAAGUCUAAAGACAGCCAAGAGCAGCAUGAGCCAGUGAAAGCCAACACCUGUGACUGUUCUCCUGUCUCAAUCCUUAAACCGCUAACACUUCCAGAAACACCAAAUAAAGAAAGUCCAACUAUAGGAAGCUCUUUUGUGCAAGAUAAACUGCAUCCUGGUGCAGCUAUGACUACCGAGGAAAGAGCUGGUGUCACCACUCAGAAAGGAUUUGUUAACGGAGCGUGAAGAUAAUCAUAGUUAGGUUAAUGAUGUAUCAAUGGAGCCUAAGGUUGAGUGAGAAGAGGUUGAAUUAUCUCCCACCAGAAGUUUUGAGCAUAACAACUUUGAAGUUUAUAGGGUGAAUGGCGUCGAGUCUGUGCAGGCUGUGUACUGAACCUGGAGCAAAGAGAAACACUCCCCCUGAGGAUGAUGGAAAUAAAACUACUCAAAACUCAAAGUUACCAGAAGGCAAGGAAAACUACUCUGAAACUAUUGCUUUAGGAAGCAAGUUUGGUGGUCAGGUCUCUUAUGGUGGAGAGCAUAAAGAAGGUAUGAAUUGUGGCCGAAUGAUAAAUGUGAGCGAAAACAAGACUGUAAGGGUGGUUAACUCGAACGAGGGUGAAGAUGGAUCGUUUUUCACAUUCAGAACGGUAUCUGCAACCUGUAAAGCCCAUUGCAAAGCAUGUUCCACUGAUAAUACAAGUCGGUGAAUGUAACUCUUGGAAUGAUUCUCGAAUUUUCUAUGGCAAUGAUUCAUUUUAUGUUCUUUUUAGGCUUCAUCAAGUAAGGGCGACAAAACAACUUCUCAAGUUCCUCAAAUUUCAACUCAUUUCAAACCA
RNA transcript from Brassica rapa (field mustard), 2929 nucleotides. RefSeq lists it as uncharacterized. NCBI's taxonomy places the organism in Eukaryota, Viridiplantae, Streptophyta, Magnoliopsida, Brassicales, Brassicaceae. The record is from RefSeq and is a predicted model, not a curated record.